AAUAUUGCACAAUGGGGGCAACCCUCAUGCAGCUACGCCGCGUGGGUGAAGCAGCAUCUCGGUUUUUUAAGUUCUACCAGCAGGGGAGCUAAUGACGGUACCUGACUAAGAUGCCCAGCCUAACUACGUUUCAGCAGCCGCGGUAAUACGUAGGGGGCAAGCGUUAUCCGGAUUUACUGGGUGUAAAGGGAGCGUAGGUGGUUCGGUAAGUCAGAUGUGAAAGCCCGGGGCUCAACCCCGAGACUGCAUUUGAAACUAUCGAACUAGAGUGUAGGAGAGGUAAGUGGAAUUCCUAGUGUAGCGGUGAAAUGCGUAGAUAUUAGGAGGAACACCAGUGGCGAAGGCGGCUUACUGGACUAUGACAGACACUGAGGCUCGAAAGCGUGGGGAGCAAACAG
RNAcentral lists this ribosomal RNA (398 nucleotides) under uncultured bacterium. Its description in RNAcentral is "partial 16S ribosomal RNA". It matches the Rfam family "Bacterial small subunit ribosomal RNA", at positions 360 to 775 of the family's 1533-position model. The record is from RNAcentral.